Long non-coding RNA from Anas platyrhynchos (mallard), 787 nucleotides. RefSeq lists it as uncharacterized. The record is from RefSeq and is a predicted model, not a curated record. Lineage: Eukaryota; Metazoa; Chordata; Aves; Anseriformes; Anatidae.
GGGGCUCCAGUUAAGUUUAGUCCUAGGCCUUCAGCCUUGACUCAGCCUUAAUCUGAAUUACGUUGUAGGAAUAUUUGUCCUAGGCUCAGUCUUAGCUGUGUCUGAUCAUAGACCCUAUUAAUCCAAGCUCUGACCUAUGGGCUGACCUCUCAGCUUGGCCUUGGAGCUACUUUGUGACUGAGGACUUGUGUGAUAAUCAUAGGACUAUGUCUGGCUGCUGCUGCUAGACCUGAUUGUGAUCUGCAUGUUGACUUCCUGGCUUAACUGCAGUCCUGCCUUAUCACCAGGAAUUUGCCUGAUGAUCUGGACUUUUGCAUGAAUGUGGAUGCUAUCUCUGGAUCUUUGGGGUUGUAGGACAAGAUGUUGGCCUGUGAGGCUCUUGCCCCGUUAGCUGUGUUAUCACUCCUGCUUCUUGGCUCUCUGUGCCUUGGGAAGCAGCUGGCCCUUGCUGCUCCCUGACAAAGGCAUUUUAUAGCUCAUGCUGUUGCAUGACAGCUGUCUACUACAACCUGGAACAGGACCAGCUCCAGCUUUUCACAAAGACUGCCAAACCCCCAUAAGAAGCUUGACUUACAGAGUUAAAACAGCUCAUUGAGAGUGCAGGUGAACUGAUAUGAAGAUGGAAAUGAACAGCAAGGGAGCAUGAACCAGCCUUGAUGCUGCAGAAAAUGUCAUAUGUAAUUAUGGUUUUUGCUUAUAUAUAUAUCCCUUCUGAAAUACUGAUCAUGGGGAGUUACUAGGUAGCUAGCAAGUAAAGAAUCAACUCAAUAAAACCACCUAUAUUUCA